GGUGAAAUGGCUGAUAAUAGGCAAUAAACUGUAAAUUUAUUUAUGAGAAUAAUAUCUCUUUUACCA
This 66-nucleotide transfer RNA is filed under the name Indosialis bannaensis. RNAcentral's name for it is "tRNA-Tyr". The record is from RNAcentral. Lineage: Eukaryota; Metazoa; Arthropoda; Insecta; Megaloptera; Sialidae.